RNAcentral lists this ribosomal RNA (304 nucleotides) under uncultured bacterium. RNAcentral describes it as "bacterial SSU rRNA". It matches the Rfam family "Bacterial small subunit ribosomal RNA", at positions 9 to 297 of the family's 1533-position model. The record is from RNAcentral.
GAGUUUGAUCUUGGCUCAGGAUGAACGCUGGCGGCGUGCCUAACACAUGCAAGUCGAGCGAAGCGAUUUCGAGGAAGUUUUCGGAUGGAAUUGGGAUUGACUGAGCGGCGGACGGGUGAGUAACGCGUGGGUAACCUGCCUCAUACAGGGGGAUAACAGUUAGAAAUGACUGCUAAUACCGCAUAAGCGCACAGGACCGCAUGGUCUGGUGUAGAAAAACUCCGGUGGUAUGGGAUGGACCCGCGUCUGAUUAGCUGGUGGUGGGUAACGCCUACCAAGGCGACGAUCAGUAGCCGACCUGAGA